CGCGUUCCUCUAAUGCAAAUGGCGGAUUCGAAGCCGGUAUCGCGUUGCGUAUGAGAACGCUGAACGGCAGAAAAUUCCGAAAAAGUUGCCACGCAACGAGGUCCCGCGGGGCCGAGAUCGCGGCUUUGUGUUGUGUAUGUGUGUGUGUACGUGUCCCGCGGCAUUGGACGAAAUGGCUGCCGACUACAACGAAAACCGGCGUUGGUGAGUGUUGAAACAUUAAUAUUUUUAAAGUGCUCGCUAUGAAAAGUUACACAGCCCUCUUUCGUAAAUCGACAAUGGCUGUGAAAUAUUUAUAUGCAUUUCUUUUCUGAGACAACACAGAGGAACUUUAUUCUGGACGAAUACAAAAUAAUUUAAUAUAAAUUAGUAAGAGGUUUUAAAAACGUGACAAUGUACAAUAUGAGAAAGUUAAUAGUUAAUGCAAGUUUAUUCCAUAUCGUGCUGCUGAUUGAGUUAAUUAUGAAUCACGGCAGCGUGUGGAGAAAAAUAAAUUUUACAUUUUAAGUUAUGUUAUCGUAAUGGUAGAAAAGAGCAUACAAAAAUAUCAUUUAUGAAUUUCGCAUGGAUAUUUUCUGCGUUUCAGACUGUAAAUAUCUGAAUGCAAAAUUAAUAAUCGUAUCAAUCCGCCAGGAACAAACGAUUCUUAAAAUAAUUCACAUAUCCUAGCUUUUCCCUUUUGUGAGUUACGUAUUUUCAAGCGUACGAUUACAGACUAUAGCAUAAACUAUAGCUAUGCUUUUAUCGAUGAUGGUUAAAUAGCAGAGAAACGUUGCAAGUGUCAUUAUCGUUCGAAAUAUUUAGUGAGAUUAGAUCGUUACUCAUUGAAUAAAAUAACACAGGUACAUUGGACGAUAUCUUUAAUUUAAUCAGAAAUCAUAUUAUUUUUACUAUUAUUUAUUUUUUCCUACCUCUUCUAUCAAUAUUAGUCCCAUGUUACUAUUUCGAAUAUCUUCUUAUUAAAAUCUGCCUUGUAAAUACUUGUCGUUCGCAACGUUUCUCUCAAUUAAUAUCUUAACAAACCUAAGGCGGAUUGAUUACGAGCGAUGUGCAGUUAAGUGGCACUACGCGCGAUGUUACAUCUCGAUACAAAA
This is a long non-coding RNA of Ooceraea biroi (clonal raider ant), 1094 nucleotides long. RefSeq lists it as uncharacterized. The record is from RefSeq and is a predicted model, not a curated record. Lineage: Eukaryota; Metazoa; Arthropoda; Insecta; Hymenoptera; Formicidae.